GUGUGGUGGCUUCAGCGGCUGAGUGGGUGUCGGCUGGUAGAGAACCUGAGGCAAAGGGCAGCAGCCGUCUGUGCCCACAGCCCUGCGAGCAGGGAGGUGUCCCAGGUCUCCUCUAUGCCCUUCAUAGUACUUAUAAUUUUGAGUUGGGAAAUAGACUGUAAGCUCCGUUGAUCAGGAGCCGGUGUCCCGGCGCAGACCGAAAUGCCCGGCUCCUUGUAGGUGCCUGGCUAGGCACACCCUCGUUUGUUGAGUCAUUCAGCAAACCCGGAGGCUUAACCUGGGCACAGGGUCUCGGAAAUGACUCCUGCCGAGUCCCUGCCAUCUGAGGGCGAAUGGGCUGAAUUCCUAGAGAGACAGCAGGUCAGAGAAGAACUGGGAAAGCUCAUGAUAUAGUUAGGCCUGCUAGGGAAUCCAGGAAGGCCUCCCAGGAGAGUUGCUUUUGUGCUAAACCUUGACGGAUUCCGGCAACAAGAAAUGAGGGAGGAGGGUGCCUCAGCUUGAGGAAACCUUUUUGAGCAAGGCAUGGCGGACAAAGAAGGAACUACAAUAGUAGUGAGUCCCAGCCUGAGACCUGUUUUCUGUUUUGAUGCUGUGCAAGAAUCUGCACAAAAUGAAACUUGUAUUAAAUAAACUUUAUCAUGUAAAGUCUGUA
This is a long non-coding RNA of Zalophus californianus (California sea lion), 652 nucleotides long. RefSeq lists it as uncharacterized. The record is from RefSeq and is a predicted model, not a curated record. The transcript has 2 exons. NCBI's taxonomy places the organism in Eukaryota, Metazoa, Chordata, Mammalia, Carnivora, Otariidae.